RNAcentral lists this ribosomal RNA (165 nucleotides) under Rhynchopelta concentrica. RNAcentral's name for it is "partial 28S ribosomal RNA". It matches the Rfam family "Eukaryotic large subunit ribosomal RNA", at positions 1326 to 1473 of the family's 3401-position model. The record is from RNAcentral. Lineage: Eukaryota; Metazoa; Mollusca; Gastropoda; Neomphalida; Peltospiridae.
CGCUAGAGCGUCGGGCCUAUACCGGGCCGUCCGCGCAAUACGAGCGCCCACGGUACCAUGCGCGGACGAGUAGGAGGGUCGCCGUGGUGAGCACUGAAGCUUUCGGGCGCGAGCCCGGGUGGAGCCGCCACGGGUGCAGAUCUUGGUGGUAGUAGCAAAUAUUCA